GAUGAACGCUAGCGAUAGGCUUAACACAUGCAAGUCGAGGGGCAGCAUGGUCUUAGCUUGCUAAGACUGAUGGCGACCGGCGCACGGGUGCGUAACGCGUAUGCAACUUGCCUCACAGAGGGGGAUAACCCGUCGAAAGACGGACUAAUACCGCGUACACUCCAUCUUGGGCAUCCAAGGUAGAGGAAAUGAAAUUCGCUGUGAGAUAGGCAUGCGUCCCAUUAGCUAGUUGGUGAGGUAACGGCUCACCAAGGCGACGAUGGGUAGGGGAACUGAGAGGUUGAACCCCCACACUGGUACUGGGACACGGACCAGACUGCUACGGGAGGCAGCAGUGAGGAAUAUUGGUCAAUGGGCGAGAGCCUGAACCAGCCAAGUCGCGUGAAGGAUGACUGUCUUAUGGAUUGUAAACUUCUUUUAUACGGGAAUAACAAGAGUCACGUGUGACUCCCUGCAUGUACCGUAUGAAUAAGCAUCGGCUAACUCCGU
RNAcentral lists this ribosomal RNA (489 nucleotides) under uncultured bacterium. RNAcentral's name for it is "partial 16S ribosomal RNA". It matches the Rfam family "Bacterial small subunit ribosomal RNA", at positions 28 to 506 of the family's 1533-position model. The record is from RNAcentral.